Long non-coding RNA from Panicum virgatum (switchgrass), 869 nucleotides. RefSeq lists it as uncharacterized. The record is from RefSeq and is a predicted model, not a curated record. The transcript is spliced from 3 exons. NCBI's taxonomy places the organism in Eukaryota, Viridiplantae, Streptophyta, Magnoliopsida, Poales, Poaceae.
CAAGUUCGGCUAGGCGGCGGCUAGGCGGCGACUAGGCGCGCCUAAUCGCUAAUCGCUGGGCUGCCGCGUAGCCUAGGGCGUUGCGCGGUGUCUAGGCGGGCGCAUCGCCUAGGCGGCGCUCAGCCGCGCCUCCGCGGCGAUUUUGCGGCGUGCAAGCGCCGAAGGCGGCCGCGUAGGCGGGCGGCCCGGCUGCGCUGCCGAUUUUUUCGGCUGCCAGCGGAAGCGCGCGCUACACCCGCGUCGGGCGCGGGAAAAUCCACACGCCGCGCGGGAAGAAUACCUUCGCGUCGGGCCAUCCUGCUCCCGCUCGCGCUAAUCCCGCUCGCGCUCCCGCUCGUCCUCCUCCGCGGCUCCACCUGCGACGCGCGCCGGAGGAAGUUCAGCCGCCGGCCUCCCUCCUCCCUGCCGGGCCUGCUUCCUGCCAGUGCCGGGCCUGCUGUCGACGGCGCACCCCUUCCCGCCGGCCACCCCACUCCCCAAGAGCUUUUGUUACCGAUGUGGAGAAACUAAGAAUCCACAGCAAAGGAAGAGCACUGCGUGUUGCUGAUGUUAUUGGAUUUUUUUCAGAAAUCACAGAGACUUGGAUACAAGAGAAAGGAUGUCAUCAGAAACUGCAGCUGCACCUUCUGAAACUGAAGCAGCUAGAGCGAAUCUCCUAAAAAGAAAUUCAGAUGAUGUUGGAUGGGAAUAUGGUGUUCUUGUUGAUGCUAACAACAAAGACAAGGUGAAGUGUAAGUUCUGUGACAAGGAGAUGAGGGGAGGGAUUUAUAGGUUGAAGGAGCAUCUUGCCCAUGUUGGAAAGAAUGUGAAGAAAUGCACGUCUGCAACACCGCAGGCUCUAGAGGCUAAAGAGAAGUGCAAGAAAGCAA